Molecule: ribosomal RNA, 80 nt
Filed under: Caerostris darwini
Lineage: Eukaryota; Metazoa; Arthropoda; Arachnida; Araneae; Araneidae
Source: RNAcentral
CGUUAGAUCACCGAAGUUAAGCAUCAUUGGGCGCGGUCAGUACUUGGGUGGGUGACCACCUGGGAACACUGCGUGCCGUU